Molecule: microRNA precursor, 103 nt
Filed under: Marmota monax (woodchuck)
Lineage: Eukaryota; Metazoa; Chordata; Mammalia; Rodentia; Sciuridae
Source: RNAcentral
AUUUGAAAUAAUUGAGGACCAUAUUAAGAGGCAGAUGCUAAUUUAGUAGGUCUGCAUGAGAUUGAGAUUCAGCAUUUCUAACAGGCUCCCAGUUGAUACUGAU